UACGUAGGGGGCAAGCGUUGUCCGGAUUUAUUGGGCGUAAAGAGCGUGUAGGCGGCCAUACAGGUCAGCUGUGAAAACUCGAGGCUCAACCUCGAGACGUCGGUUGAAACCGUAUGGCUAGAGUCCGGAAGAGGAGAGUGGAAUUCCUGGUGUAGCGGUGGAAUGCGCAGAUAUCAGGAGGAACAUCCGUGGCGAAGGCGGCUCUCUGGGACGGUACUGACGCUGAGACGCGAAAGCGUGGGGAGCGAACAGG
Molecule: ribosomal RNA, 253 nt
Filed under: uncultured bacterium
Lineage: Bacteria
Description: partial 16S ribosomal RNA
Rfam family: Bacterial small subunit ribosomal RNA
Source: RNAcentral